GAUAACUCCGGGAAACCGGGGCUAAUACCGGAUGGUUGUUUGAACCGCAUGGUUCAAACAUAAAAGGUGGCUUCGGCUACCACUUACAGAUGGACCCGCGGCGCAUUAGCUAGUUGGUGAGGUAACGGCUCACCAAGGCAACGAUGCGUAGCCGACCUGAGAGGUGUGAUCGGCCACACUGGGACUGAGACACGGCCCAGACUCCUACGGGAGGCAGCAGUAGGGAAUCUUCCGCAAUGGACGAAAGUCUGACGGAGCAACGCCGCGUGAGUGAUGAAGGUUUUCGGAUCGUAAAGCUCUGUUGUUAGGGAAGAACAAGUACCGUUCGAAUAGGGCGGUACCUUGACGGUACCUAACCAGAAAGCCACGGCUAACUACGUGCCAGCAGCCGCGGUAAUACGUAGGUGGCAAGCGUUGUCCGGAAUUAUUGGGCGUAAAGGGCUCGCAGGCGGUUAUCUUAAGUCUGAUGUGAAAGCCCCCGGCUCAACCGGGGAGGGUCAUUGGAAACUGGGGAACUUGAGUGCAGAAGAGGAGAGUGGAAUUCCACGUGUAGCGGUGAAAUGCGUAGAGAUGUGGAGGAACACCAGUGGCGAAGGCGACUCUCUGGUCUGUAACUGACGCUGAGGAGCGAAAGCGUGGGGAGCGAACAGGAUUAGAUACCCUGGUAGUCCACGCCGUAAACGAUGAGUGCUAAGUGUUAGGGGGUUUCCGCCCCUUAGUGCUGCAGCUAACGCAUUAAGCACUCCGCCUGGGGAGUACGGUCGCAAGACUGAAACUCAAAGGAGUUGACGGGGGCCCGCACAAGCGGUGGAGCAUGUGGUUUAAUUCGAAGCAACGCGAAGAACCUUACCAGGUCUUGACAUCCUCUGACAAUCCUAGAGAUAGGACGUCCCCUUCGGGGGCAGAGUGACAGGUGGUGCAUGGUUGUCGUCAGCUCGUGUCGUGAGAUGUUGGGUUAAGUCCCGCAACGAGCGCAACCCUUGAUCUUAGUUGCCAGCAUUCAGUUGGGCACUCUAAGGUGACUGCCGGUGACAAACCGGAGGAAGGUGGGGAUGACGUCAAAUCAUCAUGCCCCUUAUGACCUGGGCUACACACGUGCUACAAUGGACAGAACAAAGGGCAGCGAAACCGCGAGGUUAAGCCAAUCCCACAAAUCUGUUCUCAGUUCGGAUCGCAGUCUGCAACUCGACUGCGUGAAGCUGGAAUCGCUAGUAAUCGCGGAUCAG
This 1226-nucleotide ribosomal RNA is filed under the name Bacillus subtilis. Its description in RNAcentral is "bacterial SSU rRNA". It matches the Rfam family "Bacterial small subunit ribosomal RNA", at positions 142 to 1352 of the family's 1533-position model. The record is from RNAcentral. Lineage: Bacteria; Bacillati; Bacillota; Bacilli; Caryophanales; Bacillaceae.